ACGGGGCCCGCACAAGCGGUGGAGCAUGUGGUUAAUUCGAUGCAACGCGAAGAACCUUACCUAGACUUGACAUCCCGGGAAUUCUUAGGAAACUAAGAAGUGCCUUUCGGGGAGCCCGGUGACAGGUGCUGCAUGGCUGUCGUCAGCUCGUGUCGUGAGAUGUUGGGUUAAGUCCCGCAACGAGCGCAACCCUCAUUGUUAGUUACUACCAUUCAGUUGAGGACUCUAAUGAGACUGCAACGACAAGUUGGAGGAAGGUGGGGAUGACGUCAAAUCAUCAUGCCCUUUAUGACCUGGGCUACAAACGUACUACAAUGGCCAAUACAAAGAGAUGCGAAGCGGUGACGUGAAGCGAACCUCAGAAAGUUGGUCUCAGUUCAGAUUGAAGUCUGCAACUCGACUUCAUGAAGGCGGAAUCGCUAGUAAUCGCGGGUCAGCAGACCGCGGUGAAUACGUUCCCGGGUUUU
RNAcentral lists this ribosomal RNA (467 nucleotides) under uncultured Mollicutes bacterium. Its description in RNAcentral is "bacterial SSU rRNA". It matches the Rfam family "Bacterial small subunit ribosomal RNA", at positions 916 to 1381 of the family's 1533-position model. The record is from RNAcentral. Lineage: Bacteria; Bacillati; Mycoplasmatota; Mollicutes.